RNAcentral lists this ribosomal RNA (305 nucleotides) under uncultured bacterium. Its description in RNAcentral is "partial 16S ribosomal RNA". It matches the Rfam family "Bacterial small subunit ribosomal RNA", at positions 508 to 807 of the family's 1533-position model. The record is from RNAcentral.
ACAGCAGUCGCCGCGGUAAUACGUAGGUGGCAAGCGUUGUCCGGAAUUAUUGGGCGUAAAGGGCUCGCAGGCGGUUUCUUAAGUCUGAUGUGAAAGCCCCCGGCUCAACCGGGGAGGGUCAUUGGAAACUGUGAAACUUGAGUGCAGAAGAGGAGAGUGGAAUUCCACGUGUAGCGGUGAAAUGCGUAGAGAUGUGGAGGAACACCAGUGGCGAAGGCGACUCUCUGGUCUGUAACUGACGCUGAGGAGCGAAAGCGUGGGGAGCGAACAGGAUUAGAUACCCGUGUAGUCCCUGUCUCUUAUAC